GGAGAGAUGGCUCAGUGGUUAAGAGCACUGACUGCUCUUCCAGAGGUCCUGAGUUCAAAUCCCAGUGACUACA
Molecule: non-coding RNA, 73 nt
Organism: Rattus norvegicus (Norway rat)
Lineage: Eukaryota; Metazoa; Chordata; Mammalia; Rodentia; Muridae
Source: Rfam